UAAAGCGCACGCAGGCGGUUUGUUAAGUCAGAUGUGAAAUCCCCGGGCUCAACCUGGGAACUGCAUCUGAUACUGGCAAGCUUGAGUCUCGUAGAGGGGGGUAGAAUUCCAGGUGUAGCGGUGAAAUGCGUAGAGAUCUGGAGGAAUACCGGUGGCGAAGGCGGCCCCCUGGACGAAGACUGACGCUCAGGUGCGAAAGCGUGGGGAGCGAACAGGAUUAGAUACCCUGGUAGUCCACGCCGUAAACGAUGUCGACUUGGAGGUUGUGCCCUUGAGGCGUGGCUUCCGGAGCUAACGCGCUAAGUCGACCGCCUGGGGAGUACGGCCGCAAGGUUAAAACUCAAAUGAAUUGACGGGGGCCCGCACAAGCGGUGGAGCAUGUGGUUUAAUUCGAUGCAACGCGAAGAACCUUACCUGGUCUUGACAUCCACGGAAGUUUUCAGAGAUGAGAAUGUGCCUUCGGGAACCGUGAGACAGGUGCUGCAUGGCUGUCGUCAGCUCGUGUUGUGAAAUGUUGGGUUAAGUCCCGCAACGAGCGCAACCCUUAUCCUUUGUUGCCAGCGGUCCGGCCGGGAACUCAAAGGAGACUGCCAGUGAUAAACUGGAGGAAGGUGGGGAUGACGUCAAGUCAUCAUGGCCCUUACGACCAGGGCUACACACGUGCUACAAUGGCGCAUACAAAGAGAAGCGACCUCGCGAGAGCAAGCGGACCUCAUAAAGUGCGUCGUAGUCCGGAUUGGAGUCUGCAACUCGACUCCAUGAAGUCGGAAUCGCUAGUA
Molecule: ribosomal RNA, 779 nt
Filed under: uncultured Escherichia sp.
Lineage: Bacteria; Pseudomonadati; Pseudomonadota; Gammaproteobacteria; Enterobacterales; Enterobacteriaceae
Description: bacterial SSU rRNA
Rfam family: Bacterial small subunit ribosomal RNA
Source: RNAcentral